AACGCUAGCUACAGGCUUAACACAUGCAAGUCGAGGGGCAGCGGAUUGGUUGGCUUGCCAACCAAUGCCGGCGACCGGCGCACGGGUGAGUAACGCGUAUCCAACCUACCGUUUACUACUGGAUAGCCUUCUGAAAAGGAGAUUAAUACAGUAUGGUGUUCUAGAAUCACAUGGUAAUAGAACUAAAGAUUUAUCGGUAAACGAUGGGGAUGCGUUCCAUUAGAUAGUAGGCGGGGUAACGGCCCACCUAGUCUUCGAUGGAUAGGGGUUCUGAGAGGAAGGUCCCCCACAUUGGAACUGAGACACGGUCCAAACUCCUACGGGAGGCAGCAGUGAGGAAUAUUGGUCAAUGGACGAGAGUCUGAACCAGCCAAGUAGCGUGAAGGAUGACUGCCCUAUGGGUUGUAAACUUCUUUUAUAAAGGAAUAAAGUUAACUACGUGUAGUUAUUUGUAUGUACUUUAUGAAUAAGGAUCGGCUAACUCCGUGCCAGCAGCCGCGGUAAUACGGAGGAUCCGAGCGUUAUCCGGAUUUAUUGGGUUUAAAGGGAGCGUAGAUGGAUUUUUAAGUCAGUUGUGAAAGUUUGCGGCUCAACCGUAAAAUUGCAGUUGAUACUGGAAGUCUUGAGUACAGAUGAGGUAGGCGGAAUUCGUGGUGUAGCGGUGAAAUGCUUAGAUAUCACGAAGAACUCCGAUUG
Molecule: ribosomal RNA, 696 nt
Filed under: uncultured bacterium
Lineage: Bacteria
Description: bacterial SSU rRNA
Rfam family: Bacterial small subunit ribosomal RNA
Source: RNAcentral